GAAACCUGUUGUACACUAAAGCUGCCCACAGUUAUAUAGGAAGUUGUUCGGAACAGCCGGCGGUUUAUUCGCGUGAAAUCUGCACGGAGCCGAGGAAAACUCGAUUAUUAUCCAAAGCCUUUAUACAGAUAGGCGCCUCUGGUAUAGGAUAGAUAGCCUGAGAAAUAAACGCACAGGGCCCAACAGGGGAUUAUUGCCGGACACAUAGAAUAGAGAAACAAUACUAAACCCCCUUGGUGUUUUGAGUUUAGUUUUAGUUUGAAGAAAAUGUUUGUAUCGAUCAGGAUUGUUGUGUUGGCCUGCCUUGCAAUGCCAGUGACUUGCUUCGCAAGCUCAUUGGACAGUUGGAGCACGUGGUCAUCAUGCAGUGUGACGUGUGGUUCGGGGGUUGCCACUCGCCGUUGGAAAUGUUCAGGAAUAAACUGCGAGCAAAAAGUCGAAACCAAAGAAUGUUUUCCAGAAUUCUGUAAAUACUUGUACAUACCAACGAUAUACUGUUAUAUAUUGCAAACGUGCACGUUUUAUAAAGCUUCGAUGAAUAAGUAUAAGGUUUUUUAUCAACUCCUUCGCUUUUCCAACCCACUAAGCACACUGCUACAGUAAAUUCUGAAGCCUUUCCUUGGACAUGGUGAAACAUACAAUCGUUAUCUACUAACUAGCUCUCUAAAAAGUAUGGGCGACGGUAAGAGUUAAGAUUUUAGUAAAACACACGAUUAGAUUACAAAACCCGGUAAAAAUACCGCUGUAUAAGUUGCGCUAUUAUCUUUUAACACGAUGCUUUUUAUUUGAAUGAUCAAUACACUAUAUUUGGAUGGCGUAUUAGUAACUUGUAAGCGGACACAAGCUGUACGAAAUACAACACCCGUGUUAUAACGAAUGUCGUUGCCCCGGUACAUUAAUUCAUUUGUUUGCCUCUCAUUAUCAAAAAGAUGUUGUUUUUUUGCUACAGGCCCCUUCUCUUCGCUGAGGAUUCACUUUGGUUCUAAGCCAAUCAUUGACGUCAUUUUUCCUGUAUAAAACACGAGUGCAUACACCCUGAACCACACAUCAUACUGCAUGAUGAUCACGUGUUUAAACCCUGGCCAAUAAGAUUGCUGAAAAUAAAUGCANUGAAAGU
This is a non-coding RNA of Ciona intestinalis (vase tunicate), 1117 nucleotides long. The record is from RefSeq and is a predicted model, not a curated record. Lineage: Eukaryota; Metazoa; Chordata; Ascidiacea; Phlebobranchia; Cionidae.